UUUGAUGAAGAACGAGGUUGGGAGUGGGACGAGACAGAGAAGACUUCAAACAACGGGUUUAGUACGUUAAGCUUUAAUUACUACCUUGGUGAUCAAGGUACACAAGUGAAUACAGAUGGAGUUGAGGAAAGUGAAGGUGACACUCACGAGACCAAAGAAGAAGAGGUUGGUAAUGAAGCGGAUACAGAGGAUUCGCCAGUGG
Molecule: long non-coding RNA, 202 nt
Filed under: Brassica napus (rape)
Lineage: Eukaryota; Viridiplantae; Streptophyta; Magnoliopsida; Brassicales; Brassicaceae
Description: long non-coding RNA (BNAP_LNC024347)
Source: RNAcentral